GAGGAAUAUUGGACAAUGGAGGCAACUCUGAUCCAGCCAUGCCGCGUGCAGGAAGACGGCCCUACGGGUUGUAAACUGCUUUUAUACAGGAAGAAUUAUAUCUACGUGUAGGUAUUUGACGGUACUGUAAGAAUAAGGAUCGGCUAACUCCGUGCCAGCAGCCGCGGUAAUACGGAGGAUCCAAGCGUUAUCCGGAAUUAUUGGGUUUAAAGGGUCCGUAGGCGGUUUUUUAAGUCAGAGGUGAAAUCCUGCAGCUCAACUGUAGCAUUGCCUUUGAUACUGAAAGACUUGAGUUAUUGUGAAGUAGUUAGAAUGUGUAGUGUAGCGGUGAAAUGCAUAGAUAUUACACAGAAUACCGAUUGCGAAAGCAGAUUACUAACAAUAUACUGACGCUGAGGGACGAAAGCGUGGGUAGCGAAC
RNAcentral lists this ribosomal RNA (420 nucleotides) under uncultured Flavobacteriaceae bacterium. Its description in RNAcentral is "bacterial SSU rRNA". It matches the Rfam family "Bacterial small subunit ribosomal RNA", at positions 356 to 773 of the family's 1533-position model. Lineage: Bacteria; Pseudomonadati; Bacteroidota; Flavobacteriia; Flavobacteriales; Flavobacteriaceae. The record is from RNAcentral.